This is a long non-coding RNA of Sphaerodactylus townsendi, 258 nucleotides long. RefSeq lists it as uncharacterized. Lineage: Eukaryota; Metazoa; Chordata; Lepidosauria; Squamata; Sphaerodactylidae. The record is from RefSeq and is a predicted model, not a curated record. The transcript has 2 exons.
GGCCUACAUAUCCAGGAAUUUUCCACCUCAGAGUUUGCAACCCUCAUUCGCACAGAUUCAUUCUGCUGAAAUCUGUACAGUGGUGAAGAACAUCAAACAGUAAUCUGGAGAACUGGGCUUGAUUCCUCCUCCCUCUGAGCAACAGACUCUUUCCUGGUGGGCUGAGUUUCUUUCCACGUUUUUACUGGGUGAGCCUGGGCCAGUCACAGAAGGCGGGGUGUAAAUACUUUUAAUAAAGAAAUAAUAACGGAUUAAAAA